UUAACGAACGAGACCUCAGCC
This 21-nucleotide non-coding RNA is filed under the name Arabidopsis thaliana (thale cress). Lineage: Eukaryota; Viridiplantae; Streptophyta; Magnoliopsida; Brassicales; Brassicaceae. The record is from RNAcentral.